Molecule: ribosomal RNA, 497 nt
Filed under: uncultured bacterium
Lineage: Bacteria
Description: partial 16S ribosomal RNA
Rfam family: Bacterial small subunit ribosomal RNA
Source: RNAcentral
GAUGAACGCUGGCGGCGUGCCUAAUACAUGCAAGUCGAGCGAACGGACGAGACGCUUGCUUCUCUGAUGUUAGCGGCGGACGGGUGAGUAACACGGGGAUAACCUACCUAUAAGACUGGGAUAACUUCGGGAAACCGGAGCUAAUACCGGAUAAUAUUUUGAUCUUCAUGGUUCAAAAGUGAAAGACGGUAUUGCUGUAACUUAUCGAUAGAUCCGCGCUGCAUUAGCUAGUUGGUAAGGUAACGGCUUACCAAGGAAACGAUGCAUAGCCGACCUGGGAGGGUGAUCGGCCACACCUGAACUGAGACACGGUCCAGACUCCUACGGGAGGCAGCAGUAGGGAAUCUUCCGCAAUGGGCGAAAGCCUUACGGAACAACCCCGCGUGAGUGAUGAAGGUCUUCGGAUCGUAAAACUCUGUUAUUAGGGAAGAACAUAUGUGUAAGUAACUGUGCACAUCUUGACGGUACCUAAUCAGAGAGCCAGGGCUAACUACGUG